Molecule: non-coding RNA, 286 nt
Organism: Pelobates cultripes (western spadefoot toad)
Lineage: Eukaryota; Metazoa; Chordata; Amphibia; Anura; Pelobatidae
Source: the annotation of a GenBank genome assembly
CACAGUACCCCAAUAUCGGUGGAUCCAACACUAAUUACAUCACAGUACCCCAAUAUCAGUGGGUCCAACACUAAUUGAAUCGUGGAAAACAAAUGAAAUAGUGCGAGUGCUAAAUGGACUAAAGCGUAUUUUAAUAAUCUGUUGUAAGAGCAUUGUGAAUACAUAUAAUGCAAAAUUAAUGUGAUAAACGAAAUAAAAAAAUCAAUCCCCAUAUUUGUUCGCUGAGAUGGGUGGUGUUACGUAGCCUUACAAAAUGUAAAACAGUAUUUUUCUGUGAGCACUGUUC